RNAcentral lists this ribosomal RNA (253 nucleotides) under uncultured bacterium. Its description in RNAcentral is "partial 16S ribosomal RNA". It matches the Rfam family "Bacterial small subunit ribosomal RNA", at positions 524 to 776 of the family's 1533-position model. The record is from RNAcentral.
UACGUAGGGUGCAAGCGUUGUCCGGAAUUAUUGGGCGUAAAGAGCUCGUAGGCGGUCUGUCGCGUCGGCUGUGAAAACCUGGGGCUUAACUCCGGGCCUGCAGCCGAUACGGGCAGACUAGAGUUCGGCAGGGGAGACUGGAAUUCCUGGUGUAGCGGUGAAAUGCGCAGAUAUCAGGAGGAACACCGGUGGCGAAGGCGGGUCUCUGGGCCGUAACUGACGCUGAGGAGCGAAAGCGUGGGGAGCAAACAGG